This 523-nucleotide ribosomal RNA is filed under the name uncultured Bacteroidota bacterium. RNAcentral describes it as "bacterial SSU rRNA". It matches the Rfam family "Bacterial small subunit ribosomal RNA", at positions 340 to 865 of the family's 1533-position model. The record is from RNAcentral. Lineage: Bacteria; Pseudomonadati; Bacteroidota.
UACGGGAGGCAGCAGUGAGGAAUAUUGGUCAAUGGGCGCAAGCCUGAACCAGCCAUGCCGCGUGCAGGAAGACGGUCCUAUGGAUUGUAAACUGCUUUUAUACAGGAAGAAACCCUCCCACGUGUGGGAGAUUGACGGUACUGUAGGAAUAAGGAUCGGCUAACUCCGUGCCAGCAGCCGCGGUAAUACGGAGGAUCCAAGCGUUAUCCGGAAUCAUUGGGUUUAAAGGGUCCGUAGGCGGUCUUAUAAGUCAGUGGUGAAAUCCCAUCGCUCAACGAUGGAACUGCCAUUGAUACUGUAAGACUUGAAUACUUAGGAAGUAACUAGAAUAUGUAGUGUAGCGGUGAAAUGCUUAGAUAUUACAUGGAAUACCAAUUGCGAAGGCAGGUUACUACUAAGUGAUUGACGCUGAUGGACGAAAGCGUGGGGAGCGAACAGGAUUAGAUACCCUGGUAGUCCACGCCGUAAACGAUGGAUACUAGCUGUUCGGAGCAAUCUGAGUGGCUAAGCGAAAGUGAUAAGU